CUGACACAUUCCUGUACAAAUGUAAGGGCAAAUUUGUAAUUUUGACUAUAAAUGAAUAAAAAGAUUAUUCUACUAUCACAUUGUAUACAUUGUGUCUGUGAUACAUCCUUUGAGUGAGUAUAAAUAUUAAUUCAUAUUUUCAAGAGUUAAAAAUUUAAGGCAUGAAUUUACAUAACUAACUCAUAAACAACUCCUGACCAUAGGAUCAUCACGAGGAU
RNAcentral lists this long non-coding RNA (218 nucleotides) under Elaeis guineensis (African oil palm). Its description in RNAcentral is "long non-coding RNA (EGUI_LNC060026)". Lineage: Eukaryota; Viridiplantae; Streptophyta; Magnoliopsida; Arecales; Arecaceae. The record is from RNAcentral.